GGUUCCUACGGGGGGCAGCAGUGGGGAAUAUUGCACAAUGGGGGAAACCCUGAUGCAGCAACGCCGCGUGAGUGAGGAAGUAUUUCGGUAUGUAAAGCUCUAUCAGCAGGGAAUAGAAAAGAAGGUACCUGAAAAAGAAGCCCCGGCUAACUACGUGCCAGCAGCCGCGGUAAUACGUAGGGGGCAAGCGUUACUCGGAAUCACUGGGCGUAAAGAGCGCGUAGGCGGGAUAGCAAGUCAGAUGUGAAAACUAUGGGCUCAACCCAUAGCCUGCAUUUGAAACUGUAUUUCUUGAGUGCUGGAGA
This 305-nucleotide ribosomal RNA is filed under the name uncultured bacterium. RNAcentral describes it as "bacterial SSU rRNA". It matches the Rfam family "Bacterial small subunit ribosomal RNA", at positions 334 to 655 of the family's 1533-position model. The record is from RNAcentral.